RNAcentral lists this ribosomal RNA (530 nucleotides) under Osornophryne sp. 2 'Ecuador'. RNAcentral describes it as "partial 16S ribosomal RNA". It matches the Rfam family "Bacterial large subunit ribosomal RNA", at positions 1859 to 2594 of the family's 2925-position model. Lineage: Eukaryota; Metazoa; Chordata; Amphibia; Anura; Bufonidae. The record is from RNAcentral.
CUGCCCAGUGACUCAAUUCAACGGCCGCGGUAUCCUAACCGUGCAAAGGUAGCGUAAUCACUUGUUCUUUAAAUCAGGACUAGUAUGAACGGCAUCACGAAGGUUAUACUGUCUCCUUUUUCCAAUCAGUGAAACUAAUCUCCCCGUGAAGAAGCGGGGAUAGAACUAUAAGACGAGAAGACCCUAUGGAGCUUCAAACGACACAACAAAUGCUAAACUACUUAAAAAUUUCAGAACCACAACUCUAUAGCACUAUGAUUGUUAAUUUUAGGUUGGGGUGACCGCGGAGCAAAACACAACCUCCACAUUGAAAGAAUUUUAUUCUAAGCCAAGAACCACAACUCAAAGCAUCAAUACACUGACAUAAUUGACCCAAUAAACUUGAACAACGAACCAAGUUACCCUAGGGAUAACAGCGCAAUCUACUUCAAGAGCCCCUAUCGACAAGUAGGUUUACGACCUCGAUGUUGGAUCAGGGUCUCCCAGUGGUGCAGCCACUACUAAAGGUUCGUUUGUUCAACGAUUAAUAC